This 484-nucleotide ribosomal RNA is filed under the name uncultured bacterium. RNAcentral's name for it is "partial 16S ribosomal RNA". It matches the Rfam family "Bacterial small subunit ribosomal RNA", at positions 30 to 507 of the family's 1533-position model. The record is from RNAcentral.
AUUGAACGCUGGCGGCAGGCCUAACACAUGCAAGUCGAGCGGAUGAAGGGAGCUUGCUCCUGGAUUCAGCGGCGGACGGGUGAGUAAUGCCUAGGAAUCUGCCUGGUAGUGGGGGAUAACGUCCGGAAACGGGCGCUAAUACCGCAUACGUCCUGAGGGAGAAAGUGGGGGAUCUUCGGACCUCACGCUAUCAGAUGAGCCUAGGUCGGAUUAGCUAGUUGGUGGGGUAAAGGCCUACCAAGGCGACGAUCCGUAACUGGUCUGAGAGGAUGAUCAGUCACACUGGAACUGAGACACGGCCCAGACUCCUACGGGAGGCAGCAGUGGGGAAUAUUGGACAAUGGGCGAAAGCCUGAUCCAGCCAUGCCGCGUGUGUGAAGAAGGUCUUCGGAUUGUAAAGCACUUUAAGUUGGGAGGAGGGGCAGUAAGUUAAUACCUUGCUGUUUUGACGUUACCAACAGAAUAAGCACCGGCUAACUUCGUG